GAUAUUUCUCACGCAUAUCACUUUCUAACUCCCAAGUUGAUUCUUCAACUUUUGGGUUUCUCCACAAUACUCUCACUAUCUUCACCACUUUAUUCCUUAACACUUUCUCCUUCCUAUCUAGAAUCUCUAUUGGGUUCUCAAUAUAAGACAAAUCUGUCUGAAGUUCUAUUGGUUCGUAUUCUAUCACAUGCUUAGAAUCUGGAUGAUAAUUCUUAAGCAUCGAUACAUGAAAGACGUUAUGAAUAUGCUCCAUAUGUGGGGGUAACACUAAUUCGUAUGCCACUUUACCAACGCGCCUCAAGAUCUCAAAUGGUCCGACGUAU
RNAcentral lists this long non-coding RNA (323 nucleotides) under Daucus carota (carrot). RNAcentral's name for it is "long non-coding RNA (DCAR_LNC006685)". Lineage: Eukaryota; Viridiplantae; Streptophyta; Magnoliopsida; Apiales; Apiaceae. The record is from RNAcentral.